RNAcentral lists this ribosomal RNA (492 nucleotides) under uncultured bacterium. Its description in RNAcentral is "partial 16S ribosomal RNA". It matches the Rfam family "Bacterial small subunit ribosomal RNA", at positions 29 to 507 of the family's 1533-position model. The record is from RNAcentral.
AGUGAACGCUGGCGGUAGGCCUAACACAUGCAAGUCGAACGGCAGCACAGUAAGAGCUUGCUCUUACGGGUGGCGAGUAGCGGACGGGUGAGGAAUACAUCGGAAUCUACUUUUUCGUGGGGGAUAACGUAGGGAAACUUACGCUAAUACCGCAUACGACCUACGGGUGAAAGCAGGGGAUCUUCGGACCUUGCGCGAUUGAAUGAGCCGAUGUCGGAUUAGCUAGUUGGCGGGGUAAAGGCCCACCAAGGCGACGAUCCGUAGCUGGUCUGAGAGGAUGAUCAGCCACACUGGAACUGAGACACGGUCCAGACUCCUACGGGAGGCAGCAGUGGGGAAUAUUGGACAAUGGGCGCAAGCCUGAUCCAGCCAUACCGCGUGGGUGAAGAAGGCCUUCGGGUCGUAAAGCCCUUUUGUUGGGAAAGAAAAGCAGCAGGUUAAUACCCCGCUGUUCUGACGGUACCCAAAGAAUAAGCACCGGCUAACUUCGUG